RNAcentral lists this ribosomal RNA (468 nucleotides) under uncultured bacterium. Its description in RNAcentral is "partial 16S ribosomal RNA". It matches the Rfam family "Bacterial small subunit ribosomal RNA", at positions 28 to 507 of the family's 1533-position model. The record is from RNAcentral.
GACGAACGCUGGCGGCGUGCUUAACACAUGCAAGUCGAACGGAAAGGCCCUGCUUUUGUGUGGUGCUCGAGUGGCGAACGGGUGAGUAACACGUGAGUAACCUGCCCUUGACUUUGGGAUAACUUCAGGAAACAGGGGCUAAUACCCGAUAGGAGCUCCUGCUGCACGGGGGGGAUUGGAAAGUUUCGGCGGUUGGGGAUGGACUCGCUGCUUAUCAGCUUGUUUGGGGGGUAGUGGCUGACCAAGGCUUUGACGGGUAGGCGGCCUGGGAGGGUGACCGGCGACCUUGCGCCUGAGGUAGGGAGCAGAAGCGUAUGUGAGGCAGCAGGGGGGAAUAUUGCAGAACGGCGGGACGUCUGAUGCAGAAACGCUGCGUGCGGGAUGAUGUCUUUCGGGUUGUAAACCGAUGUCGAAUGUGACGAAGAGUGAGUGACGGUAAUGGGUAAAGAAGCAACGGCUAACUACGUG